This 1372-nucleotide small RNA is filed under the name Cryptococcus neoformans H99. RNAcentral describes it as "Cryptococcus neoformans var. grubii H99 hypothetical RNA". The record is from RNAcentral. Lineage: Eukaryota; Fungi; Basidiomycota; Tremellomycetes; Tremellales; Cryptococcaceae.
CAACUCUUGAGUGGGUGACGUCCGUCAACCCCCCCCACCACCCCCUAUCUCUCCCUCUGUCUGGUCCCACCCAUUGAAAUCCACCACCAUCACUCAUUAUCAUGCCCAUUAGGCUCGACACAAAUCCCUCGACGGGUAUUGGGCCGCUCCGACAGGCCCCCUCUUCGGAUCUUCGUGUCCCUUCGGAGACCGGCUGAUGUCUGUCGAGAGGUUUGUGUCGAGCCAAGAAGUCGAGCCUGCUAUAGUUUGGCUAUAGUCCGCUGUCCAUUCGGCUAUUGGUUCGGCAAGCGAUCGUAGAUAGCCGACGACUUCCAAAAAGUCAUUCGCAGCAGGCUUGCUGGCGUGAGCAUUAUCCCUUCUUGAUCAUCCUGAUCAGCUCGGCCGAUCAAGUCAUCACUCAAACACUCAUUCAACAGCUUUACUCCGCCGAUAUAGCCAGUACCACGUUUCCUUCAUGUCUUCAUAUCUUGAUCUCCACUUUUCCCGACCACUUCAAGAACUGGGAAUAGUAGCCUUCAUUGGCUUUCUGAACGGCUCUAAACGGGCUGUUAUUGGUACAGCUAAGAGGUGAUCUCGAUGAUAUUAUGGGACAAACAUACUCUACUUAUAUUAUUACUAUUGCUGGUGCUGAAUUUGCUAUUGGUCUUGGUAUUCUAGUAGUUUAUUAUAGACUACGAGGAGUAUAGGGUAUGGGAUGGAUUACAGAGCAGAGUUUCAUUGCCAUCUGCUCCUUCUCCUUUGCCACGCACGGUCCCAACCUUACCCAAACCCAAGGCGCUGCCCUUCGAUCCAUCCCCUCCGCCGGCCAGUUGAUCGGCCGUCCGCUUUGAGGUUACUUUCUUGAUGCUGGCGGACGUAUUAAUCUCGACGCCGCAUGCUACUUCAAGCUGCGGUAUCUCCUUGCUCUGCAUCUGGCUCCCUGCAAGAAGUUUUGGCAUGCUCUUCUUUAACGCUAUUGUGCAAGGAUGACAGGGGGGACGAUUUGGAGCGCUGCAAUACCUGUGGUAGAGGAAAUGGUAGGCGUGAAAGAUCUGGCCAAUGCUCUUAGCAUAUUCUGGUUAAGUCUUGUGGUACCAUCUUUAAUGGGUCAGCCGAUAACCAUCGCACUCGGACUAUUCCACGAGCCGUUACGGAAAAGCAGGAGCGGGUGCUUAUCUUAUCUCGAUUGGGUUCUGUGGUGGAUUAGGCGUUUUAUGUGCUUUACAAAGGAGCUGGGAGGUCUUCCAGAAGACUCAAAAAGAGGAGGGUGACUGACUGUGCAUCUUAAGCAUUGAUAAUCUCCAAUUGUCCAAGAAGUAAACUAUCGUAUCAUAAUACGUACCAUAAAGAGUUUUCACUGGCAUAUUUGAAUGGGACAUAAAAUGCAUAUUAU